CCCCUCCUCCUCAAACACCUGUUUACAUCUACAUACUUGCCUGUCAGGCCUUCUUGUCAUUGGAAAUUGAUUUCUAAGUGAAAUUUUAAAUCUUGUCAAAUUGACAGGAUUACAUCAAGUUGACCAUGGUAAUGUUGGACAUGGCAAAGUGUUUGUCUAACGAGAACUGAGCUGGAUGAAAAUACCUGAAAACAAGGGAAAAUCAGCCAGGGUGGUGAUGAGGUAAGUGCUUUAAUUAGCAACAGAUUUCAUGCAGACCUUGGGGAAAAUUUCAAGAAGCCUUUUUAUGUUUUUAUGCAAAGGAUCCUCUCUGUGAUGAUGUUGGGAAGGGCAAAUAUGAUGAAGGUUUUCAGAGAGUGAUGCCAAUAAUACAGUAAAUUCUUGACUCUUUGGAAUUCUAAACUAAGAGACAAGAUCUGCUUUCUCUCUUCUUACAUCAGUGAGCUGGGCGGUAUCGUGCAUAGUGGUGAUGAUGACAGGUUGAUUAGUAGGGCCAGACCAAGUGUGAAAUCGUUCACACCACUGCUCUGUUUCCAGGAGCCACGGUGAGAAGACAGUAAGUACAGUUCAAAAUGUUUAGUUAGGGGCCCCUGGCCGGCUCAGUCAGUGGAGUGUGGGACCCUUGAUCUUGGGGUUGUGCAUUCGAGCCCUGCGUUGGAUGUAGAGAUUAUUUUUAAGUAAUAUUGACACCUGUAAGAUCACUUAGAGAAUAGAAAGAAUAAAACGAAAAUCACCUAAUAAUUCCA
RNAcentral lists this long non-coding RNA (746 nucleotides) under Felis catus (domestic cat). Its description in RNAcentral is "lncRNA (ENSFCAG00000050895.1)". Lineage: Eukaryota; Metazoa; Chordata; Mammalia; Carnivora; Felidae. The record is from RNAcentral.